Molecule: ribosomal RNA, 258 nt
Filed under: uncultured bacterium
Lineage: Bacteria
Description: partial 16S ribosomal RNA
Rfam family: Bacterial small subunit ribosomal RNA
Source: RNAcentral
CGGCACGGGUGAGUAACACGUAUGCAACCUGCCUGCCACAGCCGGAUAAUCGGGAGAAAUUCCGUCUAAUACGGCAUAAUGCAUCGACGGGACAUCCUGUUGGUGCCAAAGGUUGAUUCCGGUGGCGGAUGGGCAUGCGUCGCAUUAGUUAGUUGGCGGUGUAACGGACCACCAAGACGACGAUGCGUAGGGGUUCUGAGAGGAAGGUCCCCCACAUUGGAACUGAGACACGGUCCAAACUCCUACGGAAGGCAGCAG